ACGAAGGGUCCAAGCGUUGUUCGGAAUCAUUGGGCGUAAAGCGCGCGCAGGCGGAUCAGUAAGUCAGGUGUGAAAUCUCGAAGCUCAACUUCGAAAUUGCGCCUGAAACUACUAGUCUAGAGUGUCGGAGGGGGCAGGGGAAUUUCACGUGUAGGGGUAAAAUCCGUAGAGAUGUGAAGGAACACCGGAGGCGAAGGCGCCUGCCUGGACGACUACUGACGCUGAGGCGCGAAAGCGUGGGGAGCAAACAGG
This 252-nucleotide ribosomal RNA is filed under the name uncultured bacterium. RNAcentral describes it as "partial 16S ribosomal RNA". It matches the Rfam family "Bacterial small subunit ribosomal RNA", at positions 525 to 776 of the family's 1533-position model. The record is from RNAcentral.